AACCAUGUUAAUAGCAGUUG
This 20-nucleotide microRNA is filed under the name Ciona intestinalis (vase tunicate). Its description in RNAcentral is "cin-miR-4110-5p". Lineage: Eukaryota; Metazoa; Chordata; Ascidiacea; Phlebobranchia; Cionidae. The record is from miRBase by way of RNAcentral.